AUCGAUGAGUUUCCAGCUGUCUGCUCACUUGCUGUUGCCUCGGGAGGUUCGCUGUUUGGUCAUGGUCGUCAGCAUCUGGCUGAUGUAAGAGACACCCUCCCCCCAUUUAAUUUCACAUACUGGUAGUUGGAAUGGAAAAGGCACGAGACCACCUGGGGGUAUAUAAGGAAUGAGCGGUUGCACUCUUCAGUUGGCAGUUAACGUUAAGAGUAAAGCCACUGAAGAUCAGCCGACUCACCAAGUGUCAAUUUGUUCUUUCAGUGAGGUUUCACACAGCAGCUUGCUGCCUCGGACCAGGUUUCCGAUGGUGAUGUGGAAGUACGUGUUGCCACUGCUCCAGUUGGAGAUCUUAGUGAAGGGGAAGGAGAGUUUGGCUUCUUCUCGAGUCUUCCCUGAGUGUUUGUUGAACAGCGACAUGAUGGACUGAGAGCACAAAAGAAAGACACUUUUUCACUUAUUCAUUAAUUAUGUUUACACUCUUAUCUCUAAUCAGGGUUCAGGGCACUGUAGCUUUAACUGGCUUCCAUUUAGCAGAGAUAUUUGAAUAAUAACAUUAAAGUCAGUUUUUCUGUGUUUCUUUGAA
Thunnus maccoyii (southern bluefin tuna) is the source of this 583-nucleotide long non-coding RNA. RefSeq lists it as uncharacterized. Lineage: Eukaryota; Metazoa; Chordata; Actinopteri; Scombriformes; Scombridae. The record is from RefSeq and is a predicted model, not a curated record. The transcript is spliced from 4 exons.